This is a non-coding RNA of Acanthosepion pharaonis, 99 nucleotides long. Lineage: Eukaryota; Metazoa; Mollusca; Cephalopoda; Sepiida; Sepiidae. The record is from the annotation of a GenBank genome assembly.
UUACGUCCAUAUCAUAUUGAAACAUUGGUUCCCAUACGAUCAUCAAAGUUAAGCCACUUUGAGCUUGAUCAGUACCUGGAUAGGUGAUCGUUUGGAAAU